GCUUUUUUCACUUAGUAAUCUAGCCUGGAAAACACCCCAUAACAAUAGGUAAUAAAGGGUGAACAGAUUUUCAGCCACAUCAGAUGAGAGAUCUGAAGUCUACAUUAUGACCUGAGGACAGAACAAUGCCUUUCAGCCUUAUAAUCUUGAGGAUUGUUACCAAAUGACCGCUUGGAGUUUCUGUUCUUGGCAACACCAUGAUGCUACAGGAGACCGGAGUCCGAAGGUUGCCUGUUUUAUUUCAGGUCAGCUGAGCAAGAACCAACUUCCCUGCAGAGCUGGCUGCCCCACGCUGGAUGAAAACACUGGCUUCUCCCUGGCCCUAAAGCAG
Molecule: long non-coding RNA, 331 nt
Organism: Physeter macrocephalus (sperm whale)
Lineage: Eukaryota; Metazoa; Chordata; Mammalia; Artiodactyla; Physeteridae
Exons: 3
Source: RefSeq, a predicted model, not a curated record